UUAAGUAGGUAUCGACCAAUUAGUGUUAUUUUCUAAUUGUACGAUAUUUACUUAUCA
RNAcentral lists this non-coding RNA (57 nucleotides) under Spodoptera frugiperda (fall armyworm). The record is from RNAcentral. Lineage: Eukaryota; Metazoa; Arthropoda; Insecta; Lepidoptera; Noctuidae.